AGAGUUUGAUCAUGGCUCAGGAUGAACGCUAGCUACAGGCUUAACACAUGCAAGUCGNGGGGAAACGACAUCGAAAGCUUGCUUUUGAUGGGCGUCGACCGGCGCACGGGUGAGUAACGCGUAUCCAACCUGCCCACCACUUGGGGAUAACCUUGCGAAAGUAAGACUAAUACCCAAUGAUAUCUCUAGAAGACAUCUGAAAGAGAUUUAAAGAUUUAUCGGUGAUGGAUGGGGAUGCGUCUGGUUAGCUUGUUGGCGGGGUAACGGCCCACCAAGGCAACGAUCAGUAGGGGUUCUGAGAGGAAGGUCCCCCACAUUGGAACUGAGACACGGUCCAAACUCCUACGGGAGGCAGCA
RNAcentral lists this ribosomal RNA (357 nucleotides) under uncultured bacterium. Its description in RNAcentral is "bacterial SSU rRNA". It matches the Rfam family "Bacterial small subunit ribosomal RNA", at positions 8 to 353 of the family's 1533-position model. The record is from RNAcentral.